CUGCGAUGGCUGUCGUCAGCUCGUGCUGUGAAGUGUGGGUUAAGUCCCGCAACGAGCGCAACCCCUGCUGUCUGUUGCCACCACGAGAGGUGGGGACUCAGGCGGAACUGCCGGUGACAAACCGGAGGAAGUGGGGACGACGUCAAGUCAUCAUGGCCCUUAUGUCCUGGGCUACACACGUGCUACAAUGGCCGGUACAGAGCGCAGCGAGGCCGCGAGGCGGAGCGAAUCGCUUAAAGCCGGUCCCAGUACGGAUUGGAGUCUGCAACCCGACUCCAUGAAGUUGGAAUCGCUAGUAAUCGCGCAUCAGCAUGGCGCGGUGAAUACGUUCCCGGGCCUU
Molecule: ribosomal RNA, 340 nt
Filed under: uncultured Spirochaeta sp.
Lineage: Bacteria; Pseudomonadati; Spirochaetota; Spirochaetia; Spirochaetales; Spirochaetaceae
Description: bacterial SSU rRNA
Rfam family: Bacterial small subunit ribosomal RNA
Source: RNAcentral